This is a long non-coding RNA of Homo sapiens (human), 833 nucleotides long. The record is from Ensembl. NCBI's taxonomy places the organism in Eukaryota, Metazoa, Chordata, Mammalia, Primates, Hominidae.
AUCCCACCUGUGGACCCAGCCUCAACUAUGACAUGAAGCCAGCUGAGCACUAGGCAAGGAACUCUAAGUCAUUCUUGACCAAGAGCCAUGUUGACCUGUCUUUCUAGGAAUAUCUCAAUUCAAAUAUUAUUCUGUAUCGUCUCAAUACUUGGCAUUCGUACUCUGAGUAAGCAUAAAAAGUGUCAGAUGAGAAAGAGCUAUGCCACCAUCACACUAUCUCCCAGAUUUCCUGGACAGUCCCAAAUAUCUGACUUCCUUUUAGAGGAUGUGCCGUGAUCUUAGUACUUGUACUUGGUCCACAUCGGAAGCUUUACCUGCUCAAAUCUCUGCCAACUACACAAUUCCCAGCAGCUUCACACAUUAACUGGACUUCCCUUCGCCUACUCCCAGGACCCUCACUAACUGUCUAAGCCCUGAUGGAUCUGUCUAGCCUCAGCAAUCAGGGCACACACGGGCCAGUGGGUUACAAAAUAUAUGACUGGUAGUUGCAGAUGCCUACUUACCCCAAGCUUGAAAAGACAGACCAGAGUACCUCAUACACCAAGUUCAAUGAUCUCUCUCCUGAUUCAUCAAGGGAACGCUACACUUCCUUAGAAAUUAAGAGUGUGUGCUACACUGCUUUACCAGAGCAAGGCCAAAAGCAGCUUCAAUUAUGGUACAACUGUGUGAAGACACAAUGCAAAACCACUCAAGAAUGCUCACUCAAAUGGAUUUUUACCAUGGAACUCGGAAACGGGACCCAGAAAGUUGUUUUCUCAAGUGGAUGGAACAACACAAGCAAUCAGUAUCCUGAAACAGGCCCUGUUCCAACAAACUGACCCAGAAAGGUCUGG